RNAcentral lists this long non-coding RNA (900 nucleotides) under Equus asinus (donkey). Its description in RNAcentral is "lncRNA (ENSEASG00005026181.1)". The record is from RNAcentral. Lineage: Eukaryota; Metazoa; Chordata; Mammalia; Perissodactyla; Equidae.
CGUUCAGUAUGGACACAUGAUGCAGGUGGAGAGGCCCCAGAGGCUUCCUGGAGGAGGCUGUGUCCUACCUGGAGUGCCUUCUCCUCAGCCUUGUCCUCUUUGCAAACUCUCAGCUUUACAACAUGCUGGCAGGGUGACCUUGGAGAAGGGACUUCACCUCCCAAGACCUCAGUUUCUACAAAAUGGGGACGUGUAUGUGCCUACUUCCUGGGGCUGCUGGGAGAAUUGAACAAGGUGAUGUUCGCAAAGCAUUUGGCAUGGUAGCUGGUGUUACCAUUAUUAGUCAGAGGAGGUGGUGGUGGUUUCCACUUGGAUGGCUGGGAGGAUGCGGGUGGCCUUAUUUAACAAAACAGGGAGUCCAGAAGGGAGGGACAGGCUCAGGGCACGUGGGAGGACAAGGGCUUUGGAGCUGACUUCAGAGGCAAGAUCUGAGAAUAGGACCCAAGGGUCCUUGCCUCUUGCUGGCACUAACCAUUUGUCUUCCCAGCUGCACCCCCAGGCUCUGCCAGCAUCGCCAACCCUGCUUCCUGCACACCCUGAUGAUCUCCUUCAGAAACCCGGCCGUUUGCUAGUAGCCUGUUUAACUCAUCCUCCAGGACUCAUUGGUCACUCCUCUUCCAUGAAGAUGGUCCUGCCCUUUCUCUUCCCUCCAUCCCUGCUUCACCCAAGAUUCUGUGUACCUCCUUUCACUGGCCAACCUCCAGGACACGAGCUCCUGCAAAGCAGCGCUGGACUUUUGUUUCAGACUCUCAGGUCAAGCACGGGAAAUAUUUCUCAAUGAAUCAAUGAAUGAAAUGAGUCCAUGAGUGAAUGUCUGGGAAAGGGAACAAGUGACAGAGUCACCAGUCCCCUCAGCCCUAGCGUGAGGCUCCCCUACCCUCUAUGGCCACUCCUGCUUCC